UACGUAGGGGGCAAGCGUUGCCCGGAUUUAUUGGGCGUAAAGAGCGUGUAGGCGGUUUGGUAGGUCCGCUGUGAAAACUCGAGGCUCAACCUCGAGACGCCGGUGGAAACCAUCAGGCUAGAGUCCGGAAGAGGAGAGUGGAAUUCCUGGUGUAGCGGUGAAAUGCGCAGAUAUCAGGAAGAACACCCGUGGCUAAGGCGGCUCUCUAGUACGGUACUGACGCUGAGACGCGAAAGCGUGGGGAGCGAACAGG
RNAcentral lists this ribosomal RNA (253 nucleotides) under uncultured bacterium. Its description in RNAcentral is "partial 16S ribosomal RNA". It matches the Rfam family "Bacterial small subunit ribosomal RNA", at positions 524 to 776 of the family's 1533-position model. The record is from RNAcentral.